CCCAGUCUCCCCUCCGCCCUGGUUCCCUACUCCCCUCGGGUCAGCGGCUGCGGCCUGGCCCUGGGAGGGAUUUCAGAUGCCCCUGCCCUCUUGUCUGCCACGGGGCGAGUCUGGCACCUCUUUCUUCUGACCUCAGACGGCUCUGAGCCUUAUUUCUCUGGAAGCGGCUAAGGGACGGUUGGGGGCUGGGAGCCCUGGGCGUGUAGUGUAACUGGAAUCUCU
This 222-nucleotide long non-coding RNA is filed under the name Homo sapiens (human). Its description in RNAcentral is "lncAB195.1". Lineage: Eukaryota; Metazoa; Chordata; Mammalia; Primates; Hominidae. The record is from RNAcentral.